RNAcentral lists this long non-coding RNA (751 nucleotides) under Ananas comosus (pineapple). RNAcentral's name for it is "long non-coding RNA (ACOM_LNC019043)". The record is from RNAcentral. Lineage: Eukaryota; Viridiplantae; Streptophyta; Magnoliopsida; Poales; Bromeliaceae.
UCCAGAUUAUCAAAUUGAAGUUUUCAGUGAAAUCGACAAAUUAAGCAAGGUAGAAUAAGCACCCAAAAAGUACAUUAAAUUUGACCUUAUUCAUUGCCAAAUGAGAUGAGUAGUACUCUUGUGCAUUAUGGACCAUGCAUUCUUAUAUAUUUGCAACCUCUCCUACCUUUAUUGCAAAAUUAAUCAAAUUUUUGGCCAACAUGCAACCUAAUUACAUGAGAAAGUGGGUGGGGUGGGAAAAAAGGAAACUUGUCAAAAAGAAGGUAAGAAGAUAUGCAGCCACCUAAACAGAAAAGGCAUAAACAAAAUAAAUGAAACAGUAAAAAGUAAAUAUCAGUGAAUCUCCACAAAUAAGGAGAAGCCCCAACAAGCUGAAUGGCUGAUGAAUAAUCAAACAUAUAAUUAAUUAAUACCUUCUCUGAGAGCUAUUAUUGGCUCCAGCUGCUUUCCCAGAAGCAGAAGCAGAAGCAUGUGCUGUUGGAGGUCCACUCCCCUUUCUCUCAUGGCUCUGCUGCUGCUGCUGCUGCUGCUGAAAAUCUAGAGAGAGAGAGAGAGAGAGAGAACAAAAACAACAUCAAAAGAAAGAAACAAAACCCACAAAAUAGAUCUUAAAACUAGCAGUAAUACCUUGUAAAAACCCUCUCUUGGAACCAAAGCAUGGGAUUGAGCCAUUACUCUUAGCAACCUUAGAGAGAGAGAGAAGAGAGGGUUCCUCUCUCUUCUCCUUCCUCUCUGCCACCCAGUACUCUUC